This 2769-nucleotide long non-coding RNA is filed under the name Lynx pardinus (Iberian lynx). The record is from RNAcentral. Lineage: Eukaryota; Metazoa; Chordata; Mammalia; Carnivora; Felidae.
CCCUAGCAUGGUGCUGGUAGCAAUCACUUUCAGUUUUGGAUAUCCUGAUGUGAUGCUGAAAUGGUUAUGGUAACAGUAACGAUGAUGUUUCAUGUUAAAUUUCCAAAUCACUCAUCACAUCCCAAGUCACUCCCUUUGUCAUUGUUAUUACUACUGCAAGUUGUUCUGUGUGCUUCAGUCACUGCUUUGUGUGUUUCAUGACCCUAAAUGAAUCAGACAAACUUUUAGGAUCCUGUCAAUCACUCUAAGGCUUUUUGCAAAUUAAAGGCACUUGGGUAUGCAUUUUUCUCUAGCUGGCAUAGAGAUAUAAAAUAAAUUUAGCAAAGCAUUAAAUCAUUUGAACAUGAAUAUUUAAUUUUUUAAAAGCCAGAUAAAUGCAUAUGAGAGUAAAUAUGAUCUAAAUUUUUUCCCUGGACACUGAGCACCUUUCACAUGUCAGUUAAGUAUCCAAAAAUGCUCAUAACUUGGCAGUUAUGGUUAAUGUUGGAACUAGGGUAUGAUAAGGAAGGCUCAGAUGUAUGAUAAAGAUCAGAAUUUGUCUUCUCCUGAGCUUCCUUACUCAAGUAGGAUAGUAAAAGGCAGUUAGACUCAUUGUUAGAAAUAAUGUGAGACCAUCUCUUUCAAAUCUCUGGUUUCUUCCACUAUGUGCUAUUUGGAAAUUGCAGUAACUGUAAUUACUGGGGAAAAACCCUCAAAUAAUUUUUAGUUGAAACUAAUGGUGAACAUUUAUAAAGUUAUGUAUUUGUAAAAUGCAUUUUAUAUUGGGGAAACAAUAUGAUACAAUUUGGAAAUAAUCAGUGAAGCAAGACACAUUUAUCAAUCGAUUAACAAUAAAUUAUCCAAUUUUAUUUUAUUUUUUUUAAAGUUUAUUUAUUUUGAGAGAAAGAGAAAGAGAGUAGAGAGGAGAGAGAGAACCCCAAGCAGGAUUUGCAUUGGCAGCAUGGAGCCUGAGGCAGGGCUUGAUCUCAUGAACCGCAAGAUCAUGAUCUGAACUGAAACCAAGAGUCAGAUGCUUAACCGACUGAGCCACCUUGGUGCCCCUAAAUUAUCCAAUUUUAAUUGGAAGUGAAGUAUGUACCACGUACUGCCCACUAAAUGGAAGAUAUAAUAAGACAGGAGUCAUUUCUGCCUUCUAAUUGUUUAUUAACCAGCAUAAAGGACGCACAUUGGACAACUAAUUACAAACGUGAUGGGCCUUAACAAAAUGGAAGGUGAGUGUUGCUAAACGAACUCAUAGUGAGUGAAUGUAACUCAUUCCAAGAACUCAGGAAAGACUAUUAAGGAAUAAUAUUUAGCUAGAGACCUAUACAUUUGUAGACAUUUUGUGGUCAAAGACAUAAGGGAAGUAUUUUGAGCCAAGAAAACCACAUGGGAACGUCCUUUUGGAAUGACAGCAUAUCUGAGGCACAGAAAAUAAAUAUUCAAUAUGGCUAGACCACAGAGAAUUCAAGAAAGUGUUGAGCAAAAUGAAGUUGGAGAGGUUGGCGAUGGGUUUGGAAUUUUAUCAGAUUAUCAGGGACCACUGAAAGGUUUUAAGCAAGGUUAGAGUUUUAAGUCUGGUUAGAUUUUUGAAAAGAACCUCAUUUUAGUCCUAGCUCUGCAACAAGUGACCUCUCUUUACCCCAGUGUCAUCCAUUAGCACAACAUGCUGUUUACAGACCCAUCCUACUCUGAGUCACGUGUGACUAUAUCAGAAACAAAGGGAUGAAAUUACUGAUGAGAAGGAAAGAAGCAUGAAUGUUCUGUGACAACUAACCAUCUGUGUGUAUGUGUGUGUGUGUGUGUGUGUGUGUGUGUGCGUGGUUUAUGUUGGUGGUGAUGAAAGUUGUUUACUAUGUUUAUGCAUAAUAAAGUGAAAAGUGUCUAUUUUCUUCAACUGGCCCAGGCACAGGUGCUGUUAUAAUUGCUGAGAUUAUUUGUGUAUUGGGUUUUAAUGAUGCAUUUAAAUACUUAUUCCAUUUACUGAUUUAGGUAAACAAUUUAUUUUUGCAAGUGAAGGCCAAUGUCAUGGUUAUUCCCAAGCUACCUUUUAUUUAAAACAUAUCACCCCAGUCUUUCAUACCACCCCCCAAAGAAAAAAAAUAGAAUUCUGGUCAUUUAAGCACUAAAACAAAAACAAACAUAAAAGGAAUGAUAAAAACAGGUUUUUACUGUAAGAGAGUCAUUUCAUUGUAUCAAGAAGGAAGAAAUAAAAGAAGCUGGUUUACAAGUUGCAUGCCUUGUGCUACUUUCCCGUAAAUGCUCUUACAUUUAUAAGCCCUUAAGACAAGUUUGGGCUUUUAUUGUUGUUGCUGUUGUUAUUUAAAUCCUCUCAGUAAAAACAGAGCAUCAAAGGUGAAGCAAGUGUUCUACAGCAUGUGAGUAGCAUACAAGUAGUAUAUAAGAUAAAAAUAUUGUUGUGCUCCUUCUCAGUAGUAAUUGGGGAAUGUACCCAUUGGUUUCUCGGUAACCUAUAAUUUCUAGGAAGAAGAGGAAAGAAAGACUCACAGCUGACUUCAUUCUGUGUAGACUCCCUGCUGGCCUGGAAGCAUCUAUGAUACCUGAGGACAUGGAAGGCAUUCCUAAUUCAAGUUUAAUUACAAAUUUAAAUGAAGUUACAGAAGAAUGUAGACUGGCAGGAAUGUAGUGGCUAUCACCUUUCCAACUUCCAGAUUAUGGUGGUGCUGAUAUUAAACUUGUAAUCUUUGGGAAUUGUUUGAAGAAUAAAAUGCAAAAUGAAAUGUAUUUAAGGAUUUGAACGUUAAAAUCAAGUAUCUUCUCUAUAUGUAA